AGUGAACGCUGGCGGUAGGCCUAACACGUGCAAGUCGAACGGCAGCACAGUAAGAGCUUGCUCUUACGGGUGGCGAGUGGCGGACGGGUGAGGAAUACAUCGGAAUCUACUUUUUCGUGGGGGAUAACGUAGGGAAACUUACGCUAAUACCGAAUAUGUCCUACGGGUGAAAGCAGGGGAUCUUCGGACCUUGGGUGAUUGAAUGAGCCGAUGUCGGAUUAGCUAGUUGGCGGGGUAAAGGCCCACCAAGGCGACGAUCCGUAGCUGGUCUGAGAGGAUGAUCAGCCAGACUGGAACUGAGACACGGUCCAGACUCCUACGGGAGGCAGCAGUGGGGAAUAUUGGGCAAUGGGCGCAAGCCUGAUCCAGCCAUACCGCGUGGGUGAAGAAGGCCUUCGGGUGGUAAAGCCCUUUUGUUGGGAAAGAAAAACAGCACGUUAAUACCCCGCUGUUCUGACGGUACCCAAAGAAUAAGCACCGGCUAACUUCGUG
RNAcentral lists this ribosomal RNA (492 nucleotides) under uncultured bacterium. Its description in RNAcentral is "partial 16S ribosomal RNA". It matches the Rfam family "Bacterial small subunit ribosomal RNA", at positions 29 to 507 of the family's 1533-position model. The record is from RNAcentral.